AUGGCAACAGGUGGGGAGCCGCACCGACACAGUAUGACCGGCUGGCACGAGCUCUUCAUCCCCAUGUUGGGUGCGGUCAUAGGAGGAUUGGGCUACCUCCUAAGCAUGGUUCAAGAGAAGUACUGGCAUACAAAAGGAAGAACGUGCAGAAAGACGAGACCAUACAGUCCAUGGAGAAUGAGAAAAGACAGCUCUAGGAGAAGGCCAAGGACUAUCGUGCCGGGCAUGAGCAGGAUCAGAACCAUUGAUCAGGUAGAGGCCAUUGAUCUAUCUUCAGAACCUGGAAGCCCAAUACCGAAGCCGGAGAUCGGAGGAAGGUUUUGGGUCUUGGCCGACGAUGGAGAUGAAGAAGAUGACGCUGAAGUCCGAAGAUCACCUGGUGCCACGAGGUCGACGUCGCCCGGGCGUUUUUUGAAGUGUACGACUCCAGUUGCGGAUUCCUUCACGCGGAUCAUACCUGGAGAGGGUCGCAAGGACAGGAAGAUCGCGGAUCCACGACAGGCGGCUCUCUACAAACCCACGGCGGUGGGGAUCAAGCCUUGGAAGGGCCCCCUUCCUAAGGUAAGCCGGCCGCAAGUCACGUUAUCAGAUUAUUUUUCGUCGGAUGGUUGGACGAUGAUCACUAGAAAGAAGAAGAAGAAGGCGUCUCCAACAGUGUUUCAUCUGCCGCCGCCGGCUGUCGGACCAGGCGAGAUCCGUGCGGCGCGUCGUGCCCGUUUGAACUUGCUGCUAGGCCUUAGUGGGCCGGAGGCAGACUUGUCUGUCCGGGGCCCGAGGCGCACUGGGGUGGCGCCGCCGCCGGCUGGUACUGCAAGGGGCGCCGCGGAUCAUUCGCUGGCCGUCGGGGCUGCGCCUAGGGGCCGCGGAGGUGGCAACCCCGGGACCCGGCCGACGGUGCCAGUUGCGGGUCGGGGCGGUCCGCCUCGUGGUACCCUGCCUACGGUGACUAGGCCGCCGGUGCUAGCAGGGGUGUCGCCGGCGGUCGGGCAUGGUGGACUUCGGCCUCCCGCGCCGGCUAAUGCUUCUGUGGGGCGUGGCGCUGCUCCCCCGAGGCCUCCGGCUCCAGCGGCGGUGGGGCGUGGUGCUGCUCCCCCGAGGCCUCCGGCUCCAGUGGCGGUGGGCGUGGUGCUGAUCCACCGAGGCCUCCGGCUCCAGUGGCGGUGGGGCGUGGUGCUGCUCUGCCGCUGCCUCGCGCCGCGCCACCGCCGCACUAUAAAACUGCAGCAGUCGUUCGUUUGUGCCAACUGCGUCACCGAGCGCGUCGUGUUCUUCUACUCCGCCGACGGCGCCAGGCUCUUCUUCGAGUGUGACGGCGCCGUGCACGGGGUUAGCGCGCUCGCGAGCCUCCACCUAUGUGCCCCGCUUUGCGACGCCUGUGACGCCGAACGCGCCACUCUCUGCUGCCAAAUCGGCGCCCACCGGGCCAUGCUCUGCGCCGGUCGCCGUGCGCUACUGGACCGCGGCGGUGGAGCCUCCCCCGUGGAUGCUUACACCAGCGGCUACGCGCCCGCCGAGAUCGUCUGCAUCCUCUCCGUCGACGCGCCGUCGUCGCAUGAGGACUUCGAUGUCUGGCUCGCCGACAACCUCCCCCAAAUCCUACACGAGGUUCAGGAGACUCUUCUUGAUGAUCUUGCGUGCCAAAUCUUACAUGGACAGUUUGAUUGUGUGAUCCAGCGACAAAAUUCAUUGAGUAGUGCUGCUAUAUAUCAGUCAAGGGAAUGGAUGCACGGAUCCAUUGGCCUGCGUACCACACAUCCCCUCACUAAUUCUAUCAGUGUCAUUCUUAACAAGCCAAGUUCCCUUUGUUGUUGUGUUGAAUUUUGGGGAAAGGCGGCCAAGCAGCUCGUGGCAUCUGUGUCGCGCCUGCUCCGCCGCUACCUUGACUCGCCGACAACGUCGCCCGUUGGGCUGCAGGGGUGCAAGACGACCGUGGGGCCCAUUGCAUGGGUGCUGAGUAUGCUUGAUUUCCAUGUCGGAGACGAAGGCCCUAGAGCUUGGUGGCUUAUGUGUGAUUCGUGUGAGAUGAAGGUGGUGAACCAUCUCAAUAUGAAGCCAAGUAUGGUGGAUUUGCCAUGGAUGAUGGUAGACCGAAGUACUCCAUCCGUUUUUCACCACUCCCUCGCCGGCCGCUUCCUCCUUGGGUCUCGGCGGCUGUCCGCGGCAUACGCAUCCGUGGCGGGCGGCGGGUCAUCAGCCGUCAUGCCGCUAACAUCGUCGGGGUCGGAGGACGAGGAGGAGCUGAGGAAGCCCGCUAUGCGGAGGGUGGUGGCGUGGUUCUACGCCGCCGCGAGCCGGGCAGCUCUCUCUGCUGCCACCUUCUUCUACUGCGCCACCUUCAUGAUUCCUCGAGUGUCCGACGAAGAGCCGAUGCAUUCUUGCGACAGCGGCGGUGGGCAUCGGUCUCCGCCGAGGUGUUGGCGGGUGCUGGUGUGGGCAAGGCAGGGUUGGACCGCCGCGGAGGACAAGCUGCCGACCCAGGAAGUUGGGGAUGUCGUCCAAGAGGAGCUCCCGCCCCGGUCCAUCCCCGAGCGCCGUGGCACAAUGCAGAGCGUGACCUCCUCCUCGUCCGGGUUGGACGAGCUCGACGAGUCGGCGGCGGCGAGCCCCACCCAGUCGAUUCCGUCAGAGCCGGAGCCGGCCAUGGUGGAAGGGGCGAAGGGGAGAUUGGGUGGAAGGGGAGGAGAUGGAGGGGAACGGAGAGGGCGAGAGGAGUGA
This 2715-nucleotide ribosomal RNA is filed under the name Triticum aestivum (bread wheat). RNAcentral describes it as "partial small subunit ribosomal RNA". Lineage: Eukaryota; Viridiplantae; Streptophyta; Magnoliopsida; Poales; Poaceae. The record is from RNAcentral.